CCUUCGGGCGCUGACGAGUGGCGGACGGGUGAGUAACGCGUAGGAAUCUGCCUUAUAGUGGGGGACAACGUGGGGAAACCCACGCUAAUACCGCAUACGCCCUACGGGGGAAAGCGGGGGCUCUUCGGACCUCGCGCUAUGAGAUGAGCCUGCGUUAGAUUAGCUAGUUGGUAGGGUAAAGGCCUACCAAGGCGACGAUCUAUAGCUGGUCUGAGAGGACGAUCAGCCACACUGGGACUGAGACACGGCCCAGACUCCUACGGGAGGCAGCAGUGGGGAAUAUUGGACAAUGGGCGCAAGCCUGAUCCAGCAAUACCGCGUGUGUGAAGAAGGCCCUAGGGUUGUAAAGCACUUUCAAUGGGGAGGAAAACCUGCCGGUCAAUACCCGGUAGCUUGACAUUACCUAUAGAAGAAGCACCGGCUAACUCCGUGCCAGCAGCCGCGGUAAUACGGAGGGUGCGAGCGUUAAUCGGAAUUACUGGGCGUAAAGCGUGCGUAGGCGGUUCGUUAAGUCAGAUGUGAAAGCCCUGGGCUCAACCUGGGAACUGCAUUUGAAACUGGCGGACUAGAGUUUAGUAGAGGGGAGUGGAAUUUCAGGUGUAGCGGUGAAAUGCGUAGAUAUCUGAAGGAACACCGGUGGCGAAGGCGACUCCCUGGACUAGAACUGACGCUGAGGUACGAAAGCGUGGGUAGCAAACAGGAUUAGAUACCCUGGUAGUCCACGCCGUAAACGAUGUCAACUAGCCGUUGGUCCUAUAUACAGGAUUAGUGGCGCAGCUAACGCAUUAAGUUGACCGCCUGGGGAGUACGGCCGCAAGGUUAAAACUCAAAUGAAUUGACGGGGGCCCGCACAAGCGGUGGAGCAUGUGGUUUAAUUCGAUGCACGCGAAGAACCUUACCUACCCUUGACAUCCAUAGAAUC
RNAcentral lists this ribosomal RNA (922 nucleotides) under uncultured bacterium. RNAcentral describes it as "bacterial SSU rRNA". It matches the Rfam family "Bacterial small subunit ribosomal RNA", at positions 77 to 997 of the family's 1533-position model. The record is from RNAcentral.